ACGAACGCUGGCGGCGUGCUUAACACAUGCAAGUCGAACGGAAAGGCUCUGCUUUUGUGGGGUGCUCGAGUGGCGAACGGGGGAGUAACACGUCAGUAACCUGCCCUCGUCUUUGGGAUAACUUUAGGAAACUGGGGCUAAUACCGGCUAUGAGCUCCUCCCGCAUGGUGGGGGUUGGAAUGUUUCGGCGGUUCGGGUUGGACUCGCGGCGUAUCUGCUUGUUUGUGGGGUAGGGGCUUACCAAGGCUUUGACGGGUAGCCGGCGUGAUAGGGUGAGCGGCUGCAUUGUAACUGUGGUAUGGCCCAGACUCCUACGGUAAGCAUCACUGCAGGGUAUUUCAGAAUGGUCGGGAGCCUGAUCGAACAACGCCGCGUGCGGGAUGUGGGGCUUUGAUUUGUAGGCCGAUUUCGCCUGUGACGAAGCGUGAGUGACGGUAAUGGGUGAAGAAGCUCCGGCUAACUACGUG
This 467-nucleotide ribosomal RNA is filed under the name uncultured bacterium. RNAcentral describes it as "partial 16S ribosomal RNA". It matches the Rfam family "Bacterial small subunit ribosomal RNA", at positions 29 to 507 of the family's 1533-position model. The record is from RNAcentral.